AUGGGCCCCAAAAAAUCUUGGCGAAGCACCUGUACAAUGCUGCUGCCUUCAAAGCCCGGACCAAGGCUCGAAGCCGUGUGCGGGACAAGCGGGCAGACAUCCUGUGAAGCAGGACCUGCUGAAGAGGAGACUUUCUAUGCCCUUGGUCCGUAUUUUUAACAGAAGACAGUGCAACAACUGGUCUCCACCAGUAUUUGUCACUUUAUUUUUUUUAAUGACAAAACCAAAAACAGACAUGGGGUGGGUAGCUGGGGGCCCGGACACUUGGGACCCUGACCCCUUUGUCCCUGCACUCAGCCCUGUGGCCCCUUCCUGUCCUGUCUCAGGCCAGGCUAAAUAUGUGCCUUCCUCAGGGCUGUGGGGCAGGCACUAGGGGGCCUUUCCCUUCCUUUCCUUUCUCAGGCCUUGCUCCCCCAGGAUGACCCACUCUUAGGGGGGUGGUGGCAUCUGGACAAAUGCCACCACAGCAGGUGGGGUGGCAAAGCUACCUGGAAUGGAUUUGUGUGCUGAUUUUUAAGGAUUAUUACAGAUAAUUAAACAGAACGGUCAGCCUUCUGUGGUCUU
This 564-nucleotide long non-coding RNA is filed under the name Homo sapiens (human). Its description in RNAcentral is "non-protein coding lnc-IFRD2-3:1". Lineage: Eukaryota; Metazoa; Chordata; Mammalia; Primates; Hominidae. The record is from RNAcentral.